UACGUAGGGGGCGAGCGUUGUCCGGAUUUAUUGGGCGUAAAGGGCGCGUAGGCGGUUUUCUAAGUUUGGAGUGACAGUGCUCGGCUUAACUGAGCAAGGCUUCUGAAAACUGGAGAACUUGAGGACCAGAGAGGGACAUAGAAUUCCGGGUGGAGUGGUGAAAUGCGUAGAUAUCCGGAGGAAUACCAAAGGCGAAGGCAGUGUCCUGGAGGGUUUACUGACGCUGAGGCGCGAAAGCUAGGGGAGCGAACAGG
RNAcentral lists this ribosomal RNA (254 nucleotides) under uncultured prokaryote. Its description in RNAcentral is "partial 16S ribosomal RNA". It matches the Rfam family "Bacterial small subunit ribosomal RNA", at positions 524 to 776 of the family's 1533-position model. The record is from RNAcentral.